Non-coding RNA from Paramuricea clavata, 94 nucleotides. Lineage: Eukaryota; Metazoa; Cnidaria; Anthozoa; Malacalcyonacea; Plexauridae. The record is from the annotation of a GenBank genome assembly.
ACACACACACACACACACACACACACACACACACACACACACAUAUAUAUAUAUAUAUAUGUGUGUGUAUGUGUGUAUGUGUGUAUGUGUGUGU